GGAUAUUGGGCAAUGGGGGAAACCCUGACCCAGCGACGCCGCGUGAGGGAAGACGGUCUUCGGAUUGUAAACCUCUGUCUUUGGGGACGAAAAAGGACGGUACCCAAGGAGGAAGCUCCGGCUAACUACGUGCCAGCAGCCGCGGUAAUACGUAGGGAGCGAGCGUUGUCCGGAAUUACUGGGUGUAAAGGGUGCGUAGGCGGGCUUUUAAGUCAGCGGUAAAAAUUCGGGGCUCAACCCCGUCCGGCCGUUGAAACUGGGGGCCUUGAGUGGGCGAGAAGAAGGCGGAAUGCGUGGUGUAGCGGUGAAAUGCAUAGAUAUCACGCAGAACCCCGAUUGCGAAGGCAGCCUUCCGGCGCCCUACUGACGCUGAGGCACGAAAGUGCGGGGAUCGAACAG
This 399-nucleotide ribosomal RNA is filed under the name uncultured bacterium. RNAcentral's name for it is "bacterial SSU rRNA". It matches the Rfam family "Bacterial small subunit ribosomal RNA", at positions 359 to 775 of the family's 1533-position model. The record is from RNAcentral.